AAUUAAACAAAUAUAUGCUUUCAUAUAAGUUUGGGGAUAUGGCCUAGAUGUUUCUACGAAGUUACCGUAAAUAACUUCUCUAUGACGGCAAGAGAGCAAGCU
Lysinibacillus sp. BF-4 is the source of this 102-nucleotide non-coding RNA. The record is from Rfam. NCBI's taxonomy places the organism in Bacteria, Bacillati, Bacillota, Bacilli, Caryophanales, Bacillaceae.